This 614-nucleotide long non-coding RNA is filed under the name Numida meleagris (helmeted guineafowl). RNAcentral describes it as "lncRNA (ENSNMEG00000012218.1)". The record is from RNAcentral. Lineage: Eukaryota; Metazoa; Chordata; Aves; Galliformes; Numididae.
AAUGCCGGAUUUACUUUUACGCGAAGGAACAGCACCUGGCUGGACCACAUUUUUCUCGCUCUCCUUAGUCAUGGGAAGAUUGGAAACAAUAUUCUUUUGAUGAUCAGCGCGCUCAGCAGCGCAGCGUGCCUGCGUGCGUGCGUGGCUGCUGCAGUGGAGGAGGAGGACAAACUUUGCUACCUGUGCAACGAAGGCUGGUAGCAUUGGAAAUGAAAACAAUUCCAUCCACGACAUUGUUCCCAGGCUCCGUAAAUGAAUGCCUUGAUGACUUCACUGGGAAUUCCUCGUGGACAGGAAGGAGAAGGGGUCAUCUGAGUUCUCCUGAAGGUGGGAGUCAGGGCCAGACGUGCCCUGAGCAACCUGCCCAAGGUGCAGAAUGUCACCUGCUGCUGCUUCUGCUGCUGCAGUUCCAUGCCAAGGUUCAGGGUCUCGCCAGUCCUGAGCCUGAAAUGGAGCCCUGUCUUGGAAGAUUUCUUCUGGCUUCACGUGUGUCUGCUGUCCUGCAGGGCCGUGCCAGACAGAAGUCAGUUCCACAGCUGUCAGUGGGGGAAGAUUUGUAUUUCUCUUACUGGAGUGGGAGCGGACUCCUAUGGGAUGUCAAAGGUGAAUGUUGA